This 517-nucleotide ribosomal RNA is filed under the name Agononida incerta. RNAcentral describes it as "partial 16S ribosomal RNA". It matches the Rfam family "Bacterial large subunit ribosomal RNA", at positions 1829 to 2597 of the family's 2925-position model. The record is from RNAcentral. Lineage: Eukaryota; Metazoa; Arthropoda; Malacostraca; Decapoda; Munididae.
GUCUGUAUGAAGUUAUAUAGAGUCUGACCUGCCCGUUGAAGAAAUUUGAAAGGCCGCGGUAUAUUAACUGUGCAAAGGUAGCAUAAUCAUUAGUUUUUUAAUUGAAAGCUUGUAUGAAGGGUUGGACAAAGAAAAAACUGUCUUUAAUUUUGGUUUUGAAAUUAACUUUUAAGUGAAAAGGCUUAAAUAAAUUUAAGGGACGAUAAGACCCUAUAAAUCUUAAUAUUAGGUUGUUUUUCUUGGAAAUUAAUAUUUGUCUAGAAAAAAGAAAAAUAGAAGAUAUUUUGUUGGGGUGACGAGAAUAUAAUUUUAACUGUUCUUAGAUAAAACAAAGUUAUUUGUUUAAGGUUAAUGGAUCCUUUUUAGAGAUUAAUAGUUUAAGUUACUUUAGGGAUAACAGCGUUAUUUUUUUUGAGAGUUCUUAUCGAAAAAAAAGUUUGCGACCUCGAUGUUGAAUUAAAAUUUCUCUACGGUGUAGGAGUUGUGGUGAGAAAGUCUGUUCGACUUUUAAAAUUUU